CACACACACACACACACACUAAUCGCCCCAGAAAAGAAACCUAUGACAGACCAAAGUAGUGAUUUCGCUGAAGUUCAACUUAGUGAACCAAAGAGCUUUUAUUGAGGUUACUUAAAAGAAAGUGGGGGAGGGCUUACUUACAGGAGCAGAGAUGACUCGAAAGGGACUGUGUUAUUAAAAUUGUCACCAUGUGAGUGUUGGUAUCAGGACCUCUGAAACCCAUGACAUCACAUAGGUGAGACCUGAACACCUGUUGCCAAGGCAACAGCCACCAUAUUCCCAGAAUCCACUUGGCUCCCCUCCCAUCUUUAACUGUGAUUUCGUCAUCACCCAUAUAUAAAGAAAGCCCCCCUCCCCAUCUCUCACUCUCUCUUUCCCUCCCUUCUUUUUCCUCCGUUACCUUGCCCCUCUCUCUCCUAGUAAACCUCAUGUGGAACUGUUUGGCCUGGUGUGGUCCUUCUGAAGCCGGGAGACAUUCAAGGUCAUAACAAUGAGUACUCAUGAAACCUGCGAUCCUGGAGCCCUCUGCAUCGCUUGUAUGCAGCUCAACAGGCCCCGAGAUCUCCUCACUACAAUGAAGCUGGUAAGAGGCUCCUCCUUCACCAGGUACAGAGUGGGGCUGGAGACCGGAGGCAGCGGGGACUCCCGCUAGGAUGUAUGUGGUGGUACUGAGAAGCUGCUCGGUGGCUUCCCUACUGGGUUACCACGAGCUGCACCUUAGCAGAGAUGCGCGUCCCUCAGCGGCCUAUUUGUUUCCUGCUUUGCUUUGAUAAGUGGUAUCUGCGAUGACAGCGAGAGCACACAUAUAUCUAACUUUAAAAAGAUUCGAUUCUGCCUAUUAUGAUUUCCUCGCUGCUGGUAUUUUGAUGAAGAGGGAGACAGACAGUAACGCUUCCCCGAGAAAGAAACGGAUCUCAUCCUACCUCCUGUUGGUCUUCUGUGUCUGUGUUAGCCACUGUCAGCGGAAACCAGAGAAGACUAGGUCUUGCGUUAUGAGAGCCAGAGCCUAUGGCCUGACACAGUUCAUUCUUCAUCUUAGAACCCAGGAUCCAAGCUCGUAA
This 1061-nucleotide long non-coding RNA is filed under the name Mus spicilegus (steppe mouse). RNAcentral's name for it is "lncRNA (ENSMSIG00000030422.1)". Lineage: Eukaryota; Metazoa; Chordata; Mammalia; Rodentia; Muridae. The record is from RNAcentral.